This 69-nucleotide transfer RNA is filed under the name Marmota marmota marmota (Alpine marmot). It matches the Rfam family "tRNA". Rfam says of the family: Transfer RNA (tRNA) molecules are approximately 80 nucleotides in length. Their secondary structure includes four short double-helical elements and three loops (D, anti-codon, and T loops). RNAcentral also lists the same sequence under 1 other name. Lineage: Eukaryota; Metazoa; Chordata; Mammalia; Rodentia; Sciuridae. The record is from Rfam by way of RNAcentral.
GGUGUUGUGGCUCAGUGGUAGAGUGCUCACCUUGCAUGUGUGAAGCACUAGGUUCGAUACUCAGCACCA